CUAAAGUUGGGAGGCCUAGUAGGUUGUCUAGCCUACCCCUUGCUUACAUAUGGUUGUGACCCACAGUAUAUUUUCCUAGUGCAUUGUCCAGUCCACUUGUAAAACCCCAAGUCAUAAGAAUUCACAUAUCCUGGAAAGAGACUAUUUUCCUAUCUACUUUCCCUGUGAAAAAGGUUGUGGGUUGGUUUUGUUUUGUUUUUUUUCUUGAUAGCUAAAGCUUUCUUUACCACAUCCUCACCCCAUUACUUUGCAUGGUCUCAUGCUCAAGUUUCCUGCAUUGCCCAAAACGUGGAAGUAGGCAUCUUACCUCCUUCCCAGAUGCCAUGUGCUCCUACUAAAAAAAUGCCUAUUUAGCUUCCUGAUCAGUGCAGUGCUGUGAUCACUUCAUGCACAACAGCUUGCUGAAUUGAAGGCUUAUUUACUGCUCAUAAAUACAUCUUAUCCUCUGCUAGCCCCACUCCCAAAGAGCAUUACCUUAUGCUACUGUUUUCUAGGAAGAGAAUAAAACAAAAUCCUGUUACAUUACAGAAAUGGGAAAAUCCCAUUCUGUUUCCAAGGUAGAGAAAAUGCUCAUAAAUAUGGAGUGAAGUUGUCAGUUCACGAAUGCCCAUGCCCAAUUUCCCACUGGUUUCAGUGUGGCCAGACUGUUUCAGUUCUUUGUGUUCUGUAAAAAUGCAACAUGAUACUUAAACUGAAAGACUUACUCUCAUUGUUUUUGCGUGCAUGGUGGUGGUAGUGCCUGACAUGUCCAGUCAUGGACCAAGACCUCGUUGUGCCAGGCCUUGCACAAGUACAAAGCAGAAAAGAACCGAUCUCUGUGCCUAUUGAGGAUGCUUCUCCAUUUCCUCCUCCUCUUAUUUUUACGUUAUACAGAUUCAGACAACACCCUGGAUCCAACACCUCAAGGGAGUUUGAACUUCAGUUGUCCAGCAAGUUUUGUCUCUGGCUUUUUUCCCCCCUAACUACAAAACUGGGAACUCUGGAGAAAUGUGGAUGCAGGUCAGAGCUUUGUGAUAGAGAUCUGAGAGUCAGCAAACUGAUGAUGUGCUGUAUUUUUUUUUUUUAAGUUUGACCCUAUAUUUUUUUAACUUGCUGGCCAGGCAGCGAUUUGGAAAGGUUAGAAGUGAUCGCCCAGAAUAGUUUGGUAGGCCAACUGCGGGUGGAACAGUGCAGUGUACUACAGAUCCCCAUGUGGUAAUGCUCUGCAAUAGAGAGCAGUGUAGCUAGGUAAGGGUAUAAAAACUGUGUCUUUCUAGGCCAGGUGAGGUUCACUGGGUAGAUGCGAUAUCUUUUAUUAAACCAACUAAAUAGUUGGAAAGAAGUUCUUUGCAAGCUUUCGGGCAUCCUGACAAAGGGUGUUUGUGCCUGAAAGCUUGCAAAGAACUUCUUUCCAACUAUUUAGUUGGUUUAAUAAAAGAUAACGUAUCUACCCA
This 1433-nucleotide long non-coding RNA is filed under the name Crocodylus porosus (Australian saltwater crocodile). RNAcentral's name for it is "lncRNA (ENSCPRG00005019096.1)". Lineage: Eukaryota; Metazoa; Chordata; Crocodylia; Crocodylidae. The record is from RNAcentral.